UACGGAGGGUGCAAGCGUUGUUCGGAAUUACUGGGCGUAAAGCGCGCGUAGGCGGUUUGCUAAGUCAGAUGUGAAAGCCCUCGGCUUAACCGGGGACGUGCAUUUGAAACUGGCAGACUUGAGUACUGGAGGGGGUGGUGGAAUUCCCGGUGUAGAGGUGAAAUUCGUAGAUAUCGGGAGGAAUACCGGUGGCGAAGGCGACCACCUGGCCAGAUACUGACGCUGAGGUGCGAAAGCGUGGGGAGCAAACAGG
RNAcentral lists this ribosomal RNA (253 nucleotides) under uncultured bacterium. RNAcentral describes it as "partial 16S ribosomal RNA". It matches the Rfam family "Bacterial small subunit ribosomal RNA", at positions 524 to 776 of the family's 1533-position model. The record is from RNAcentral.